This is a non-coding RNA of Tetranychus urticae (two-spotted spider mite), 2842 nucleotides long. The record is from RefSeq and is a predicted model, not a curated record. Lineage: Eukaryota; Metazoa; Arthropoda; Arachnida; Trombidiformes; Tetranychidae.
UCAAAUAGAUGGCAGGUUACACAGGUUGAGUAAACUUAACUGAAAGUCUUUCAGUGAAAGAUAAUUACAGUAAAUCUAUUAAAGAAGUGUUAAUUAUAAUUAAUUAUUUUUAUUCGUUCACCCAACUACACACUGUGAAGAGUCAUCUGAUGAACCUUUUCUCGACUUCGAGUUUUUUAUCAGCAAGACCAUCGAUAGCCAUACAUUUGGUCUGGACGUCUGAAGGAUCUUUACCAUUUUUUGCUUUCAAAAGACCCUGAAUUCGGUUAGUUAAAGCAGUAACAGACUUCUGCAAUAUUGUUUAAUCAUUACCGGCACUUGAAAUCAACGCCUUAUUGGUCACAUUAUUGGCUAUCCCAACCACCAUUUGUCCAUCAGAUUCCACUGAAAUCAGCCUAAACAUGGCAAAGUCAGUGAACAAAAGAACCAACUACUUCUAGUGACACGACUUCAAUUGAUUAUCAAGUUACCAAAGUGAAUCUGAGAUUGUGUCCUUUUAUUACAUUUGAAAAAAGUAUAAAAUAGAAAAGUAAAAACUGUUGAAAUGAAAUGGUUAGUACCUGUUCUUUCGCUUCUUUUGUUCCCUGGCAUCGCACUUUUCAGCCUCGUUACAGCAGAUGAUGACACGAAUCCUGAAUCAGACUAUAAAGAAGGUAACUUUUUUCCGACAUUGUCUGGUGCAGCUUCAAGCGAUGACAAUUUAGGUAAUAGAAUCAAGGCUGUACCCCCUAGUGUAUACCUUAAAAUUGCCAAGUCCUUGUCACCUGUACAAAUUAGAAGGAUUCUUAAUAGACUGCGCAAGUUGUCUGAUGAAGAUUCACGAAGAAUUUUACGUGAAACAUACCGAAACGAAGAAGCAAAUUCUGGUUUGGUAUGAGACUGGACACAUUUAUUCGCAAAGGACAUUGUAACUUGCAACUGUUGUGAUCUAAAAAAUCGAAAGAAUGCUUCUGAUAAGUGAAAGUACUAAGCGUUGGCCAGAAAGCUAAAAAGAUGAGAAAAAUUAUGUUUAAAUUAUAAACACAAUAAAUCAAAUUUCAUAAAAUCAUUGUCGAUAACUUUAAUCCAGUUAAACUCUGGGUUUUUGCAAGAUUGUUGCAAAUGUUUAGUUGAUAUUAGAUCAAUAAACAAAAGCAAGUUAUUUUUGAAAUUCUUCUUCAUGCUUUAUUCAAAACCUUGAAUUGCAAAUCUGAGGGAGUGCUAACAAUCACUAUGAUGUGAUAUUUCACCAGGAUGCCCAGUAGAUACAAGAUUUACUAGCCGCAAAAUUAAUAGAUUAUGAUUUAUAAUUUAUUAUUUUUAAUUAUAAAUGUUUCAUUACAUAUGAAACAAUACGAUAAAACUUUACAGGUUACACAGGUUGAAAAAACCUAACUGUAAGAUAAUUAAUACAGUAAUAAUGUACAUGUAAAUCUAUUGAAGAAGUGUUAAUUAUAAUUUAUUAUUUUUAUUUGUUCCCCAACUACACCAUGUAAAGAGUUAUUUGUUGAUUUUUUUUUCGGCGUCGAGUUUUUUAUCAGCAAGCCCAUCGAUAGCCAUAACAUUGGCCUGGACGUCUGAAGGAUCUUUACCAUUUUUUGUGCUUUCAAAAGACCCUCAGUUUGGUUAUUUAAAGCAGUAACAGACUUCUGCAAUAUUGUUUAAUCAUUACCGGCACUUGAAAUCAACGCCUUAUUGGUCACAUUAUUGGCUAUCCCAACCUCCAUUUGUCCAUCAGGUUCCACUGAAAUCAGCCUAAAAAUGGCAAAGUCAGUGAACAAAAGAAGUGAGUAGAACCGAAAAAUUUAUAUUAACUGUUUUCAAUUUAAAAGUCGACCAUCAAUUGAUAUUAUCUCAUGACAAUGGCUUUUUAUACCAAACUUUAAAAAUCACAAUCAAACUGUAUCAUUUGAUUUAAAUAAACAUCAUUGUUCAUCCUUGAAUUUAUUUGUGAUUAAUUGUUGUCUUAAUAUGCGCUAGUAAAUUCAGAUGCACGAGUUUAUUCUGGAUAAGGGGUGUAUAAUAUGCUAAUAUAAAGUAUAAACUUUGGUGAUAGUUUGCAAAUGCUAAUCUUUUUCACUGAAGUUAUUUUCGAGUUUUAUUUGUUUCAUUUGGUUUAAAUAAACAUUAACGCUAGUUGUAUUCAAGUGUUGCAUUCGAAUUCUUGCGAGUUUUAACUCAAAUGUGUCAAGCACCUGUUUAUGCCCGAUUUAUGUUUUAUAUCCUGCGAUACCAAUCUUUGUUUGAAAAUGAAUCAUGCAAAAUGAUAGUGUUUAUUCAAGUCGCAUACAGUUUGGAUGAUGUAUCGGAAAGUCAUGAAGGUUGGUAUAAAAGCUAAUUACUUUUUAGUGAACAACAUCAAUUGUUUAUCAAGUUUUCAAAGUGACUCUGAGAUUUUGUUAUUUAUCUUUGAAAAUAAAAUAAAAAGUGAAAACAGUUGAAAUGAAAUUGUUUGAAUGUGUUUUCUCGCUUCUUUUGUUGUCUGGCAUUGCACUGUUCAGUCUCAUAACAGCUCAAAACGUGCCAAACGCUGCGGAGACUAAAAUUAAUUUACAAAGGGGAGCUUUAUGUCAAGCUUCAGACCCGCAACAAAAUAAAAAUCUAACAAUCAACCCUAAUAGCGCAAAAGUUCCAGAUGGUGGCCUUAAGGUUAAGGUGCAAAAAUUUUAUCCAGAGAGACAAAGUGUGAUUAUACACCAAACUUCGUGCAAAAAGGAAAGGAAAGAUGGUGUUCCGUGAUUAUUUCAGCCAAGUUGCGUCAAGAUAACGUCUGAAUGUGUGGAAAAUUGAAGCUAAUAAACAUCUUAAAGAGCCAAAAAUAAUUACAUUUAUAUUACUAAAUAAAUAAAUCUAAUUUCAUUUA